Molecule: long non-coding RNA, 224 nt
Filed under: Hordeum vulgare
Lineage: Eukaryota; Viridiplantae; Streptophyta; Magnoliopsida; Poales; Poaceae
Description: long non-coding RNA (HVUL_LNC005221)
Source: RNAcentral
AACAAUAUAACUAUCACAUAAGGCAUUAUUUCUAUGAUCCAAAAGCAUAAAAGUAUCAUUACUCUUCUUAUAAGCAAAAUCUUUCUUAUUAGGAAUAGUGAGAGUAAAGCAAUCAUUAUCAUCAUGGUAAUCAUCAUAUUUAGGAAGCAUAGUAUCAUCAAAGCAAAUUUUCUCCUCAAAAGUUGGGGGACUAAAAAUAUCAUGUUCAUCAAACCCGUCAUCCC